AACCUUACCUGGUCUUGACAUCCACGGAAUUUGGCAGAGAUGCCUUAGUGCCUUCGGGAACCGUGAGACAGGUGCUGCAUGGCUGUCGUCAGCUCGUGUUGUGAAAUGUUGGGUUAAGUCCCGCAACGAGCGCAACCCUUAUCCUUUGUUGCCAGCGGUCCGGCCGGGAACUCAAAGGAGACUGCCAGUGAUAAACUGGAGGAAGGUGGGGAUGACGUCAAGUCAUCAUGGCCCUUACGACCAGGGCUACACACGUGCUACAAUGGCGCAUACAAAGAGAAGCGACCUCGCGAGAGCAAGCGGACCUCAUAAAGUGCGUCGUAGUCCGGAUUGGAGUCUGCAACUCGACUCCAUGAAGUCGGAAUCGCUAGUAAUCG
RNAcentral lists this ribosomal RNA (377 nucleotides) under Pantoea sp. FES33. RNAcentral describes it as "bacterial SSU rRNA". It matches the Rfam family "Bacterial small subunit ribosomal RNA", at positions 967 to 1344 of the family's 1533-position model. The record is from RNAcentral. Lineage: Bacteria; Pseudomonadati; Pseudomonadota; Gammaproteobacteria; Enterobacterales; Erwiniaceae.